This 509-nucleotide ribosomal RNA is filed under the name uncultured bacterium. Its description in RNAcentral is "bacterial SSU rRNA". It matches the Rfam family "Bacterial small subunit ribosomal RNA", at positions 19 to 518 of the family's 1533-position model. The record is from RNAcentral.
CUGGCUCAGGAUGAACGCUAGCGACAGGCUUAACACAUGCAAGUCGAGGGGCAGCACGGGAGUAGCAAUACAACUGGUGGCGACCGGCGCACGGGUGAGUAACGCGUAUGCAACCUACCUAUCAGGAGGGGAAUAACCCGGCGAAAGUCGGACUAAUACCGCAUAAAACAGGGGCACCGCAUGGUGAUAUUUGUUAAAGAGAUUCGCUGAUAGAUGGGCAUGCGUUCCAUUAGGUAGUUGGUGAGGUAACGGCUCACCAAGCCGACGAUGGAUAGGGGAACUGAGAGGUUGGUCCCCCACACUGGUACUGAGACACGGACCAGACUCCUACGGGAGGCAGCAGUGAGGAAUAUUGGUCAAUGGGCGGGAGCCUGAACCAGCCAAGUCGCGUGAAGGAAAGAAGGAUCUAUGGUUCGUAAACUUCUUUGCAGGGGAAUAAAGUGCAGGACGUGUCCUGUUUUGUAUGUACCCUGAGAAUAAGGAUCGGCUAACUCCGUGCCAGCAGCAGC